RNAcentral lists this ribosomal RNA (841 nucleotides) under Fusarium equiseti. Its description in RNAcentral is "partial large subunit ribosomal RNA". It matches the Rfam family "Eukaryotic large subunit ribosomal RNA", at positions 47 to 918 of the family's 3401-position model. Lineage: Eukaryota; Fungi; Ascomycota; Sordariomycetes; Hypocreales; Nectriaceae. The record is from RNAcentral.
UAAGCGGAGGAAAAGAAACCAACAGGGAUUGCCCUAGUAACGGCGAGUGAAGCGGCAACAGCUCAAAUUUGAAAUCUGGCUCUCGGGCCCGAGUUGUAAUUUGUAGAGGAUGCUUUUGAUGCGGUGCCUUCCGAGUUCCCUGGAACGGGACGCCAUAGAGGGUGAGAGCCCCGUCUGGUUGGAUACCAAAUCUCUGUAAAGCUCCUUCGACGAGUCGAGUAGUUUGGGAAUGCUGCUCUAAAUGGGAGGUAUAUGUCUUCUAAAGCUAAAUACUGGCCAGAGACCGAUAGCGCACAAGUAGAGUGAUCGAAAGAUGAAAAGCACUUUGAAAAGAGAGUUAAAAAGUACGUGAAAUUGUUGAAAGGGAAGCGUUUAUGACCAGACUUGGGCUUGGAUAAUCAUCUGGGGUUCUCCCCAGUGCACUUUUCCAGUCCAGGCCAGCAUCAGUUUUCGCCGGGGGAUAAAGGCUUCGGGAAUGUGGCUCCCUCCGGGGAGUGUUAUAGCCCGUUGCGUAAUACCCUGGCGGGGACUGAGGUUCGCGCAUCUGCAAGGAUGCUGGCGUAAUGGUCAUCAACGACCCGUCUUGAAACACGGACCAAGGAGUCGUCUUCGUAUGCGAGUGUUCGGGUGUCAAACCCCUACGCGUAAUGAAAGUGAACGCAGGUGAGAGCUUCGGCGCAUCAUCGACCGAUCCUGAUGUUCUCGGAUGGAUUUGAGUAAGAGCAUACGGGGCCGGACCCGAAAGAAGGUGAACUAUGCCUGUGUAGGGUGAAGCCAGAGGAAACUCUGGUGGAGGCUCGCAGCGGUUCUGACGUGCAAAUCGAUCGUCAAACAUGGGCAU